RNAcentral lists this ribosomal RNA (2114 nucleotides) under sediment metagenome. RNAcentral describes it as "bacterial LSU rRNA". It matches the Rfam family "Bacterial large subunit ribosomal RNA", at positions 842 to 2395 of the family's 2925-position model. The record is from RNAcentral.
GUGAUAGCUGGUUCUCCCCGAAAUGCAUUUAGGUGCAGCGUCGGGUGUUCAGCAUCGGAGGUAGAGCACUGAAUGGGUAAGGGGGCCUACAAGCUUACCGACCCCAAUCAAACUCCGAAUGCCGAUGCUCCAGAGCCCGGCAGUGAGACCAUGGGGGAUGAGCUUCAUGGUCGAGAGGGAAACAGCCCAGACCGCCAGCUAAGGCCCCAAAUUCGAGGCUAAGUGGAAAACGAUGUGGGAUUGCAUAGACAGCCAGGAGGUUGGCUCAGAAGCAGCCACCCUUGAAAGAGUGCGUAAUAGCUCACUGGUCGAGUGGUCCUGCGCGGACAAUGUAACGGGGCUCAAGCCUCGAGCCGAAGCUGCGGAUCCCGCGCAAGCGGGGUGGUAGGGGAGCGUCGAUCGUGCCGUGAAGCGGCGGUGGGAACCGUUGUGGAGCGCGGUCGAGUGAGAAUGCUGGCAUGAGUAGCGAGAGAGGGGUGAGAAACCCCUCCGCCGAAAGCCCAAGGGUUCCUGGGGAAGGCUAAUCCGCCCAGGGUAAGUCGGGAGCUAAGGCGAGGCCGAAAGGCGUAGUCGAUGCACAACUGGUUGAUAUUCCAGUACUUCCGUGUCCGCGAUAAUUCCCAGCCAAGGGUACUAAGGGGCUGCCUUCGGGCGAACUGACAGACCUUGGGGAGGACAGCAAAGGGGGGACGCAGGAGGGUAGGUGAACCCAGGCGUUGGUUGUCCUGGGGUAAGCGUGUAGGAGGAGGACCAGGUAAAUCCGGGCCUCACAAACUCUGAGACGCGAUGCCGAACCGAUUCAGGUGAAGUCACUAAUCCCAUGCUGCCUAGAAAAGCCUCUAGCGAGCUGAUACGGAACCCGUACCCCAAACCAACUCAGGUGGGCAGGUAGAGAAUACCAAGGCGAUCGGGAGAACUAUGGUUAAGGAACUCGGCAAAAUACAUCCGUAACUUCGGGAGAAGGAUGGCCCCCUUAGGGUGACGCACCUCGCGUGCUGAGCUCGAAGGGGUCGCAGAGACCAGGGGAAAGCGACUGUUUACUAAAAACACAGGAGCGUGCGAAGUCCUAAGACGAUGUAUACGCUCUGACGCCUGCCCGGUGCCGGAAGGUUACGGGGAAGGGUUAGUCCGCAAGGGCGAAGCUCUGAACCUAAGCCCCGGUAAACGGCGGCCGUAACUAUAACGGUCGACUUUAAGGGCCGUUAUAAAACCUGGCUAUAUGCUGGAAACUCCGAGUAUCCGGCGGUACUCAUUCAUGUAACACCCUCUGCGUAGGGUGAUGCAUGAGCAGUGAAAAUCCGACCGGUGCGGACAAUCAGCAGGAAACUGCAAGUUCAAGGCUUCAAGCUCGAUCCCAGUGGGUGGUGGGUUUCGUCGAUGGAGAAGGUUGCUUCUCCGUGUCGACCCACGCACAUCCCGGUGUGCCGAAGGGUUCGAGCGUGCGGUUCGUCUGGCCUACGCGAUGAACGCGAAUGGCAAGCAACGAUCGCGGAGUCUUGAGAUAGUGCUUGCAGGAUCCUCAGAGACUGCACGCCAGGCACCGCUCAUCAUCACGAGCGAUUGAAGAUACAGUCCGACCCUCAUGGCGACAUGGGGAGCCAAGCAGAAAUGACUUGGCCUCGAGCCGAUGGAUUAAGGAUCCGCCGGCACGAGUAACAAGAGUGCCUAAGGUAGCGAAAUUCCUUGUCGGGUAAGUUCCGACCUGCACGAAUGGCGUAACGACUUUCCUACUGUCUCAACCAUAGACCCGGCGAAAUUGAAGUACGAGUAAAGAUGCUCGUUAGCUGCAUCAGGACGGAAAGACCCCGUGGACCUUUACUACAGCUUGAUGUUGUGUUUUGGUACGGAUUGUGUAGAGCUAGGUGGGAGGCUAGGAAGCUCGGGCGCUAGCUCGGGUGGAGCCAAAAGGUGAAAUACCACCCUGUUCGUGCUGGGACUCUAACCCAGACCCUUCUAUCAGGGCCGGGGACAGCGUCAGGUGGGUAGUUUGACUGGGGCGGUCGCCUCCCAAAGAGUAACGGAGGCGCCCAAAGGUCGACUCAGGUUGGUCGGAAAUCAACCGUAAGAGUGCAUAGGCAGAAGUCGGCUUAACUGCGAGACGUACAUGUCGAGCA